Long non-coding RNA from Gossypium raimondii (Peruvian cotton), 572 nucleotides. RefSeq lists it as uncharacterized. The transcript has 2 exons. Lineage: Eukaryota; Viridiplantae; Streptophyta; Magnoliopsida; Malvales; Malvaceae. The record is from RefSeq and is a predicted model, not a curated record.
CAUAAAUAACCCACGACACGUGCAGUCCUGGCUUGUACGACACCGUUUUGUGAUGGAAUUUAAACAAAAAAUAAUUUCUGAAAAAAACACUAGCAGCCUAUAUUUUAAAACAUUUGUUCCCUUUCCUCUGCUAGGUUUUCUUUAAAAAUAAACCCUAGGCCGCCGCUCUCCAACAGGGUCACCCUUCAGCUUCCGUCGUCGCCUCAGUCUCCGAUUGCGAUGGAGAGGACAACACCAGUUUUUUCAUGGCAAGUGCACUGGAGAGAAGACAUGCGCGGCGUGCGGAGUGCAUGCGAGGCUACUGUGCGUGGGAGCAGCAACGUGGGGGUGAUGGGGCAGUUGCUACAGCACCGAGGAAGGGAAGCUAGGGUUUUUGUGUUUUAGGGCCAGUUCUUCAUUUCUUAAAAAAAACACUUUUGACUCCAAAAGUAUUUUUGAAAGAAAAGCUGUAAAGAACAAGCUGCUUUUGGCUGAAAAGGAGAAGUUAAAAAUUUUAGCUUUUCCUCUCCCAAAAGCACUUUUGGUGCUUAAUUACUUUUUCACCCCUCCAAUAACAUAGUAUUUUUCUUUUU